This 498-nucleotide ribosomal RNA is filed under the name uncultured bacterium. RNAcentral describes it as "partial 16S ribosomal RNA". It matches the Rfam family "Bacterial small subunit ribosomal RNA", at positions 30 to 523 of the family's 1533-position model. The record is from RNAcentral.
AUUGAACGCUGGCGGCAUGCCUUACACAUGCAAGUCGAACGGUAACAGGUCUUCGGAUGCUGACGAGUGGCGAACGGGUGAGUAAUACAUCGGAACGUGCCUAGUAGUGGGGGAUAACUACUCGAAAGAGUGGCUAAUACCGCAUGAGAUCUACGGAUGAAAGCAGGGGAUCGCAAGACCUUGUGCUACUAGAGCGGCCGAUGGCAGAUUAGGUAGUUGGUGGGGUAAAAGCUUACCAAGCCGACGAUCUGUAGCUGGUCUGAGAGGACGAUCAGCCACACUGGGACUGAGACACGGCCCAGACUCCUACGGGAGGCAGCAGUGGGGAAUUUUGGACAAUGGGGGCAACCCUGAUCCAGCAAUGCCGCGUGAGUGAAGAAGGCCUUCGGGUUGUAAAGCUCUUUUGUCAGGGAAGAAACGGCUGUGGCUAAUAUCCACGGCUAAUGACGGUACCUGUAGAAUAAGCACCGGCUAACUACGUGCCAGCCGCCGCCGUAA